Cavia porcellus (domestic guinea pig) is the source of this 1826-nucleotide long non-coding RNA. NCBI's taxonomy places the organism in Eukaryota, Metazoa, Chordata, Mammalia, Rodentia, Caviidae. The record is from Ensembl.
AUGCAGCCUAGACCUGCAUCUGUUGGGGGUCUGGUAGGAAACAGGCUGUCAACUUUGGCCAAAGCCAGUGUGGAGGUGGAGGAGAGUGAGUUGCUCAUGCAGCUCACAGAAGCCAAGCGUCCAGCCAGAGGAGGAUGCAGGGGGAAGGAGCCUGGCUGUGGGAAGGUUGGCUCUCUGUCUCUGUCUGCCUUGAGGCAGCUCUGCCUCUUGGGAACCCUGGGAGCACUUGCCUUUCCUUGCAACUUGACCUGGAGUGGCUGUCAUGCCUGUUAGUGCUGUGCUGCUGGGCUAUUGCCCUGUAUUUUCAGUUUGGAUCACAUCUCCUUCUUACCAUCAGCUUGCAAAAGCAAAGAUCUUCGCUCAUUCUCUUUGUAUUCCUGCUUUGGAAAUGACUAGAUAUCCCGGGAAGACUUGGUCAUGUCUGUUUUGAAUACUGUACUAACCCUCCAUAGCAUCAGGACCUGGAUUGGGGGUGCUGGUAGAUUUGGGGGAGCGUGUGCUGCAAAUCGGUUUAAGGGUGAGGACACUGAAUGUUCUGGCCUUGCCUCGUGGAGUUUCCACCUGAUGAAGGAAGAAGCAGGAGCUGAAAUCCGCCCUGCAGAGGACUUGGUGGAAGACAGGUUUAUCAGCGGACAUGUAGGGACAGAGAUACAGACCGGGAUGGGAUGUGAGAUGUGAGGGUAGGACCAAGUGUCCUGAGUCACCAUCAGGCAGACAGCAAGGCCUGGGAAGGGACGUGGCUCCCAGGUUAAAGAGGGCGCCCACUCUAAUCCAGACCUGCAGUGUCUAAUGCAGCCACCACUGGCUCUUCACCCUUAAAUUUACUCGAAUUAAGUCAGACUCACUAAUUUUAGUUCCUCAGUUGCAGCAGCCACAUUCCGAGUGGUGCAGAGUGGUUGCCCAUGUAGACUGGAGUAUUUCCACCACAGUGGGACCUUUCCCUGCUCUGGAACAGCUGAGAGAUUUUAGGGUCCCAAUAAUGCUAGAAUAAAUACCCACUCAGAUGAUUUUUAUCUGUGCAGAUAUCUAACACAGCUACUUCCAGAUCUUCACUUUGCCAGUGAAUAGUUGUAUGGAGUCCCCAAAUCUCAGUUCUCAGUUAGAAAGUGAAGAUAAUAACAGAGGAUGUCUGGGUGUCAUGAUGCACACCUAUAAUCCCUUCAUUCAGGAAGCUGAGGCAGGAGGAUCUUUGUGAGCUCAAGGCCAGUUUGAACUACACAGUGAGAUCCUGUUUUAAAAAACAAACAAGCAAGCAAAUCAGAGAUUGCAAGCUUGAGGAGGUGGCAGCAUGCUCUUGACUAAGUAUCAGUUCCUGUCCCUUGCAAUAGCGAGGAUAUUAACCAGCACUGGGUGAGUGCUUAUGCUGCUGGCUCUGUCUGAAUUUCCACCUGUGGGCUCCAAUGCAGUUUUCACAGUAAGUCUGCAAGAAGAUCAGAUCAUUAUUCCCAUUUUGCAGAUGGCAAAAGGAGCCUCCUCGAGGCCACAACAGUCUCUCAAGGUCACACAUAGCAGAGCCAGUUUCCUUUAUAGAUGAUUAAAAUGCUCACACAGUGUCGUCUGCUGUUCCUGUCUUGUCUUCCCACAGUGGCCAUUAAGAACUUAGCCGGAGGCUUCAUUUGAAUCCUGCAUCGUGACUGGAAUAGGUCUGAACCGAUGCUUGCUAAUUGGUACAUCAAUUUUGAUCAACUUUAAUAAAAACAUUUAAAAUUUCUCCAGCGCCAACUAUUGACGUUCCUGUUCCCUACUCCAUGGGGGUCUCAAAAACAAAUCCUGCUGCCAGAUCUCCAUCCUUGAAUCCAUGCUCUGCUUGUGACAGUCUCAGAGUC